Molecule: long non-coding RNA, 5928 nt
Organism: Halichondria panicea
Lineage: Eukaryota; Metazoa; Porifera; Demospongiae; Suberitida; Halichondriidae
Exons: 4
Source: RefSeq, a predicted model, not a curated record
GAAGCAAAGGGAAUUUUUACACACGAAAUCACUGCUGCACCACGCCUACGAUUUUGUCUCGGAUUUUUUAUCCCACGAAAAUGACCUGCUAUACAGUAUGUACUGAUUAUGGCUUAGGCAAAAUACACAAUGGAGUCUGUUCCGUGAGUAAUCAUUCCCUAGAAGUGAGUGUCUACUGUAUGUAUGAGACUGUGUACAGUGUAGUAAGAAGUUUCACUCUUACAAAUGAAUAUACCGAUAAUACGUGCCUAAAAUUUAUGCCUGUGGUCUUACAUUACAAGCAUAGUUACUAGUAUUAACAACAUGUCCAAUUAACAACGCCAUCACGCUAUAGUAUAAGUGUACAUAAGAAAUACAUGCAUGUACCAUGAUUGUGACCUUUCUCCAAGAAGUAACCCAUACAAAGUGCCCACCCAAAAGGUCCACCUAUAACAGUACGCAUUAAUAUGCUCCUUUAAAAUGGUUUCAGUAUAUUGCUGCAAGUUUCUAAGCCAUGCAAUUUUGAGAGGCCGCUAGUAGCAAGUAGACUGAUCAUGUGCAUAUAAGAGUGCCAGAUACCUGGUUCUUUGCACCCUCGAUAAUAUAUGUACACGUGUAGUUGUCUGCACUCGCUCCCUAUAUACCCGGGUACAUGUACAUGUAUUAAAUUAACAAUAACUUUAUGACUGACUUUGACAGAGCACCCUCGAAUAGCUAUAAUUGUAAGCACUGCAAUAUGUCCUUUUAGAUAUUCUGUCACGUACCUCUAGGGGAAGCUCAGAAUUCUGGAGAAUUGGACAAACAGCUGUGAUAAGUCAGCGCUACCAAAGCAGCUGUCCAGACGGAGGACCAUGUGUCCGAGUCUGCUCUCACGUGACACUGCGUCCCACCAGCCCUGGUCUGAGGCUCCUCCCCCCACAACCUCCUCUCUCACUUUAGCCCCACUCAAAUCUUCGACCAUGUCCGUAUUUGUUGCUCUAAGAUCAUGUGACAAGUCCUAAGUACACCAGGUUUAUGAAGUUCCUGCAUGAUCAGGAGGUGAGAGGGAAUGUUUAGCUGUUGCUUUAUUUAGCUUUUGUGUACAUGUAUGUGUUUAGUUUCCUGUCAUAAACACUGUUUGUACAUGUACGUGUUCUAUGCAAAAGUGCUUAGUGACUCUGUCGCCUUUGUAAAACUUAAUUAUUGUAGUCUGUGAGUAGACUAAUAGUGGCUGUAUUAUAGACUAUGAUGUGCGUGACCACAAUAGACUGCAUGGUUUCACUGCAUUACUAGUGUUUAAGCUUCCAUAUACUUCCCCUUUAUUAUGCAGCCCCAUGUUGACUACCUCCCUGGUCAAGUAUUUGAGGGCGGUGGCUGACACCUGUCACGCAUCAGUGCUGGAGACGACGUUCCCAGGGCAACUGUUUGCCUCCCUCGUUCAAUUGCUCCUCAUACGAGAGCCCAGCACACAGCUGGAUGUGGCCUUACUCUGGCAUCGUCUCGUAGAUCACCAUGCCAACAAAGACAAGAUUCCUCUCAACACGUGCGUGGAUGUGUGUGUGUGCACCUUGCUAUGUUCUGUGUGCAUUUGAGGCGUACUAGAUUUUAUUUGUCAGUUACACAGGUCCAUAUGAGCUUUUGUCUUAGCUUUCACUAUGUGUACAAUCAUGUGCAGUGCUUACAGCUACAUGUACAUGUACGUGUAUUUAUACCCUCCCCUAACCAAAAGUGUACCUAAAAACCAGUAAAUCAUGAAUUAUAGCCACUGUGAACAUAUGUAAAGGGAUGGUCAGGAUACCUAAACCAUUGAACAAUUAUGUGAUGAAGUCUAGAACCUUAGCUGUACAAGAUUACUGUUUUAUUACUCUAACCGAUCUAUCGAUAUAAUUAUAUAGGACAACGCAGUUUAAUUAAACUUUCGUAUUAAGCUUUGUUGUUUAGCCCUUACAACGAGUAUUGUCGGUGGAGGACAACUUCUCUAUCUGCUCUCUAUACGAGAUAGUUGAUGGGCCCGAAUAUUGAUGCUGCUCUAUAAUAGCACAACAAGAACUCAUUUGCAUUAUUAUAGUCUAGCAAACUAAAUUGUGCGUAAAAACGACUAUAAUGAGAAGUUCAUUAGGAAGAGUAUGCAACUCCCACUAACCGUAGUAAGCAUUCUGUCUAACCUACAUCACAACCACAUAGCUGUUGUAUAAACUGUUAAAAUUAAUCUGCGAUGAAUGGAUGAAUAAACAUGAAUGGAUGAAUAACCGUUAGUGAUGAUUAGAUUAGUUAGAUAGCUUUGAGUAGCUAGUUUUAGAUAGCUAGUGCAACUGAAUAAUUGCACACUGUUCUAUUAAACUUAGCUAGCUCGCAUGCAGCUGCAUGCGCUUGUUUUUUUUUGGGAGAGGGGGAGAGGGGGGUGGAACAACCUUACUUUGUUCAUGCUAUGAAUGGAUGAAUAAAAACGUUAGUGAUGAUUACCACUAAUUGCUUUUUCUUAUCAGCAUUGUUAUUGUUAUUGUUGUAUCUCAAGUGGCUGUGGUUACAUGCAAUAGUGAGUUUGCCUCCUGUGUACAGUCUAUUGGAGUAGCGUACUCUUCCUCUUGGUCCUAUCUGUGUUAUAUGACUCUUUCUGUAGCUACAAUUCUUUGCUUUUGGCUCAUUAUGCACUCGGCAUUUGUCAUGGAUCACAGCAAAGGCUUUUCUUAUUUCGCCCCAUAAUAAUUAUAAGCAAUGCUGUGAAUAACCCCACCUCCUGUCAACAGACUAGUGAAUGCUAUCAGUGGAGGGGGGGGGGUGGAACAACCUUACUUUGUUCAUGCUCUGAAUGGAUGAAUAAACGUUAGUGAUGUCUUAUUUCGCCCCAUAAUAACAUUGCAAUGCUGUGAAUAACCCCACCUCCUGUCAACAGACUAGUGAAUGCUAUCAGUGGAGAGGGGGGUGGAACAACCUUACUUUGUUCAUGCUAUGACUGAUGUUAUGUACCUAAUCUAUACGCACUUUAAUUAUUCUUAUACUUGGUUAUAAUUCUACUGGCCUUAUGUGACAUAUUUUUCUACUUCACGCAUGCAGGUGAUGCUUAGAAGUCAAAGGCAGUAUCUUACAAUUGCAGUGAACCGAGUGCAGACUUGCUAUGGUUAACUAACUAUUUUUAAAAAAACCUUUCACUUUUAUAUCCUCAUCGUUUGUUUAAUACAAUUUUAAUACUGUAUUAAUGUAUUGUUGUUUGUAAUGUUUGAAAUUGAUUUAGCACAAUACAAUCAUGUAGCAGAGAUGCUGAACUGAUGAACUUAAUGAACUCUGACUCUAACCUGUGACCUAUGUACUUAGAACUUAUUGUAUGUCAUGUGAUGUUUUGUAGACAUGCGCACAAGAGUGCUGGCCAUGUGCUUCUAAGAUCAAUCUGAAUAAGAAGUGAACACAGCUGAACUAUUCAACAGUGGACGUCCUGCCGAGACCAACCAUACACCCAAGGACAGUAAGAACGCCUAGCAACUGCAGGAGUCAUGACUGACCGGAGUGAGACAGCCAUUGAUCAAGCCCGGACCGAGGAAGGCCCUGUCGUCGACUUAGAAGAACCUCGAGUAAAGACUUACCCGUUGAACUCUCGCCGAUUGGCCACAGGAGUGGUGAAGCGUAUCGCCAUGGAGCUAGGACUGCCAGGGAAUGCAUCGAAAGAGGACACCUUCCCCAUGCUUGAAGUUGCACCUCGAGGGGAAGCUCAGAGUUCUGGAGAAUUGAACCAACAGCUGUGAUAAGUCAGCGCUACCAAAGGUGAGCUCAAUCACUUUAAGAAUAAAUGUAUUUGAGCAGUAAUUGGUCGCCAGAGUUGAGAGAGCUGAGAUCUCACUAGGGAAAAGUAAAAUUGUUUCUUAUAUAGUUUUGAUCGAGUUGGUAGAGGAAAUCAUAUUUUCAGAAGGCCCUAACACCUUGUAGGCUUUAGCUGAUAUGAAGUUGUAGUGAGCCUCCCAUUUCAGACACAAACAGUCCAAUUAAGAUCUUCUUAUCAGAGAGUACCUGCAUUUCAUGUGACUCAUCAAUAGCAACUGAAUGCCAUGGCCUACCAUUGAUGCUCACAACAAAAAUUGUUAUGUUUAAGAUAUUGUUUGUUAUGCUUAAAAUAUUGUUUAUAUUUUUACUUGUACUCAAAUUGUGUGUGGCUUUACUAGGCAUGCUAAAACAAGUGACAAAAAAUUUUGGUAACAACGAAUCUGUUCCUUACUUAGCAUACACUGUAGCUAAAGGCUUGUACAACAGCUACCAGCUAAAACUGACUUGUACUCGCUCACCGUUAUUCCAUAAGCGCCGUCUCAGUAAAAAUUCCAGGGGGGCUGGUGGUAGCUUUUUGUAACAAAAACAGUGCAACCUCUUUCAAAAAUAAGAGGCAUGGCAUUAUUUAAGGCUUGGUGGUUGCUACAACACCUAUGCAGCCAGUAUCAGACGUUAUAGCUUGAGUUAUAGGACUGUAUCUUCAGCUAUUGCCACUAACCUACAACACUAUCAAGCGGAGCUUCUUUGUGAUUUUUGUUGCUGUUGAUGACGUCACGGUUGCAAAUAUAUUCACGUGAGCUGUCAGAUGGCGGAGCAACUGGUCAGUGGAUGUGAGCAAGUUUGAGGUGUCUGGUCGUUUCCUGGGCAGGCAGAUGGAGAAUGUGGAGCUGGUCUUCCAGGACCUCCUUCAGCUGCAAUACGAGGGUCUGGCAAUCAUGAAGAUGUUUAGAAGAUGUUUGGGAGGGCUAAAGUGAACGUUAAUUUGCUCAUCUUCCUCAUAAUUAUAUGAACAAAAGGCAUCAGAACAUUAAAUUUGAUUUUCACUAGCAAAUUGCUUGCAUUGACAAUUUACUGUGCAUGUGAGCAUUUAUCCAAUUCAAGGAGAAGCCCUUGUUAUGCCUCGAGGCGUAGCCGCACGAGGGAUACCGUAAAGCUGACUGUGCGUGUGUGUCUAUUAUUACCGCACGAGGGAUACGGUAAAGCUGACUGUGUGUGUGUGUGUGUGUGUGUGUGUGUGUGUGUCUAUCAUUACCAAGGAGAAGAAAAAAAUUACUGCCUUGUGUCAGGUAUAUAGUGUUGUGCUUGUACAGUGUAUGUAAGUACAUGUAUUCAUUUGUCUUACACCAGUUGAAGUGUUUCACUGCCCUCUCUUCUCCCCACACAGGACCUCCUUCAGCUGCAAUACGAGGGCCUGGCAAUCAUGAAGAUGUUUAGAAGAUGUUUGGGAGGGCUAAAGUGAACGUUAAUUUGCUCAUCUUCCUCAUAAUUAUAUGAACAAAAGGCAUCAGAGCGUUAAAUUGGAUUUUCACUAGCAAAUUGCUUUGUGUUCAUUGACAAUUUACUGUGGAUGUGAGCAUUUAUCAUUAUUACCAAGGAGAAGCCCUUGUUAUGCCUCGAGGCGUAGCCGCACGAGGGAUACGGUAAAGCUGACUGUGUGCGCGUGCGUGUGUCUGUGUGUCUGUUAUUGUUACCAAGGAGAAGCCUUUGUUAUUGCUGUGCUAUUGACAAGUUGUAAUUAAUUAACAACAUUAAUUUUGUUUUUAUAGUGUCUAACAUAAUUAUAUAUACUAGUAUAUAAUACUUCACUACUUUUCUCUAUGCAUUUAAAUUGUCAUUGAAUGCAUUAUGGCAGAAUUAAUUAAAAUCAAUUGUCAAAACUGUAUGAACUAGUGUUCAAGCUGGCGCUGUGCUAAUGCCUCUCGCCAUGUUUUUGCUUUCGCUGAAAAGUAUUAGAGUGUUAUAUUAGUUUCUAUAAUGAAUUUUAUAUUAAAGUUAGCUUAUCUAUAUAAAGUCACUGAGAAGAAAAGACUUAUUUACAUGCAUCUAUUGUUGUAUUAUGUGGCUUACUAGAACCUCAAGAAAGAAGAAAAUUGAUUCUUCCAAGAUCUGUAGUUCAGUGUAUAUAAUAUCUAAGAAGAAAAGACCUGUGUACAUGCAUAUUGUUAUCUAUAUUGUUAUAAUUAUGGUAGUGUUUUGUGGCUUACCAGGCCUUCAAGA